Nerophis ophidion (straightnose pipefish) is the source of this 889-nucleotide long non-coding RNA. RefSeq lists it as uncharacterized. Lineage: Eukaryota; Metazoa; Chordata; Actinopteri; Syngnathiformes; Syngnathidae. The transcript is spliced from 2 exons. The record is from RefSeq and is a predicted model, not a curated record.
UGACGGAUGUGGAUCGGACGGGUUUUAUUCGCAAGCCAAACAUUCCUCCCGCUGUGCCAACCUCACCUGUGGGGUCCCUAGGGCUCAAUACUGGGUUCCAUCCUGUUCUCCAUCUACAUGCUCUCCCUCAGCCAAGUCAUUCAUCGCCUUAAAAUUUCCUUUCAUUUCUACACUGAUGAUACUAAAUCUAUCUUCCACUCAAGACAGACGAUCCCUCUGGACUGGACCAUUUGAAGGACUGCUUGCAGGACAUAAAAGAGUGGAUGUCAAAAUUUCCUGCAGCUCAAUGACAGAGUGAAAUUCUUCUGUUCGGGAACUCCAACCCCCCAACUGUGCACAAUAGCCAAGAUCAAGUCUGUCCUCUCCCCCAGUGACUUAGAGGGUCGUGUUCAUGCUCAUCUUCUGCAGACUGGACUAAUGGAAUGCCCUCUAUGCUGGGGUCACUAACAAGACCAUAUAUAGCAUGCAGUUGGUACAAAAUGCUGGUGACAGGCACAAAAAUGAGGGAACACAUUUCUCCCAUCCUCUCCUCCCUUCACUGGCUCCUGGUGAAGCACAGAGUGAAAUUUAAGAUCCUUACGUAUGUCUUCAAAGCGCUCCGUGGUCUUGCCCCAGCUUACAUCAAACAUCUCCUGGACCAACCUAUCAGCUCCAGGCUUGGUCGUUGCCUCAGAUCUGACAACCAGAUGACCUUGAAGGUCCCACAGUCAAACCUAGUGACAAAGAGAGACUGUGCAUUGUCAAUGAUGGUACCUGGCCUAUGGAAUAAGCUCCCCCUGAAAGUCAAGUCCGCCACCACUCUGGACACUUUUAGAGCACAGCUUAAAACUCACCUCUUUGCCGCAAAUGACUUGAUUUGUGUUCAUGUGUCUUAAAUGUUUGUUCUAAA